Brienomyrus brachyistius is the source of this 4230-nucleotide long non-coding RNA. RefSeq lists it as uncharacterized. The transcript has 3 exons. NCBI's taxonomy places the organism in Eukaryota, Metazoa, Chordata, Actinopteri, Osteoglossiformes, Mormyridae. The record is from RefSeq and is a predicted model, not a curated record.
CCAGGCAAGUGAGCCUAAGGGGUAACAAAACAAAUGGUGUCAGGCAGGCCUUCAGGGCUCUGACCUCUAAGUGGUUAGAGUGGCGUUCGCUGACUGCACUCGUAACCAAAGAUAUAGCUAGGCGGUUGCCGACGCUAGAUGAGUGACUUUUAAUGCAUGUGCAUGCCGCUUGCGGCCUUCUUCUGCGCAGUUUACCCCCUUAAAACAAUUACUGAAGCGAGACAGCGCUCGCGUUACGGCGACGGAUCUAAAUGGAGGUGGUGCAGUGGUUAGCUCUUUUGCCUCACAUCUCUGGGACCUGGGUUCGAGUCUCCACCGGGGUCACAUGGUGUGUGAGUGUGCCCUGCGAUGGGCUGACAUCCCAUCCUGGGUUGUUCCCUGCCUUGUGCCCAUUGCUUCCGGGAUAGGCUCCGGACCCCCCGCGACCCAAUAGGAUAAGCGGUUUGGAAAAUGGAUGGAUGGAUGGAUAAUCGUAUUUUUAAAUAAUUUGUACUUAAAAAAUAGUCUGUGGUACAUUGGGCGGAGUUUAAAUUUGGACGUCAUUAUUUUUAUGAAUUAUGACAUCAUAAGCGGGAGGGGGAGCAUAUCCCUUAUUCUGAUUGGUCGAGGGGUUAUCUCCAUAUACCAUACAUUGCCGAUAGGGGGCCAUAUGGUUUGGGUGAUAAGGGUUGCCGUUAAACUUUAAUAGAAUAAAAAUACAUUACAUGUAUUUAUUUGUGUUAUUUUUAAUUACGUUUUCAAGGAAUAAUAAAACAUAUGGCAGGAUGAAUGCAAGCUAGCGCAUACACGUCCAGCGGGGCCCGUCCGGCCGCAGGCACGGGCUGUUAGGAGUAGGCACAAGCGCCACAGCGUAUUUUAAAAGAAUGUGGGGAUCUGAACGGGCUGGUAGGAGUAGUUGCGCGGCACUGGUAAUUACACUAUAUUGGCAACCACUUGAGCCAGGUCAUAUGACCUACCAGGAAGUUAUAAAAGGCUGCCAAGAUAGAAUCUCAUUCUCUUGCUGCUGUGUUUUACAACUGGACAUGGGAUGGGUUCUUCUUCCCUGUGGGUAAGGGAAGGAGGAGAGGGUUUGUUUGAGAACUUGAAUGUUUAAUUUUAAUUUUACCAGGGUGACUGCUAGCAGCAUGUAACUCUUCAUGGAGGACGCGGAGGUGACUGGAAUUUUAUCAUUUGACGUGAUCCCCUACGGGCUGCUGGGCUACAGACACUGAGGCUCUGCUGCAUGUUUGAACCUGAGACCAGUUUUGAAAUGGAGUCUGUUUCAGAAUACUACAUUCACACCCCCAAAACCUUCAUAUCCCAAAUACUGCAUCAUGAAAGGUGAAAAUUGGUAGGUUUAUGCUGGUGAAAUAAUGAAGAUAGAUGCUGCUGCUUUUAAAUCAUUCACAAGGUUGUUUAUUGAAAUGGUUUAUUGAAUGGCAUCUAACAAUUUGAAACACAUAUGGAGGUAUAAUAGACAUUCGCCUCAGAAUUAUAUUUCUGGUAUGUAAUUUUAUCUUUAAAGUGACCUUAUUAAAUUUGUUCCCCGAAGUAGUAAUUUCAUCCCACACCCUGAGGGCUUUUGCACGCUGGUUAUAUGUGCUGUUAGUAUGCUAACAGCAUUUUCUACCCAGGGAGUCUGAUCGAAAACCAAAAUCAAGCUGCUGCUGUGCGCUCCUGCUGAGCACCCUGCUUGGAGGCAUGUAGACUUGACGGACACUACGGAGUGUUCCAGUGACUGCCCACUAAUACAGGGAGUGCAGAAUUAUUAGGCAAAUGAGUAUUUUGUCCACAUCAUCCUCUUUAUGCAUGUUGUCUUACUCCAAGCUGUAUAGGCUCGAAAGCCUACUACCAAUUAAGCAUAUUAGGUGAUGUGCAUCUCUGUAAUGAGAAGGGGUGUGGUCUAAUGACAUCAACACCCUAUAUCAGGUGUGCAUAAUUAUUAGGCAGCUUAACAAAAAACAAAUACAUACCCAUUUCAAUUAUUUAUUUUUACCAGUGAAACCAAUAUAACAUCUCCACAUUCACAAAUAUACAUUUCUGACAUUCAAAAACAAAAUCAGUGACCAAUAUAGCCACCUUUCUUUGCAAGGACACUCAAAAGCCUGCCAUCCAUGGAUUCUGUCAGUGUUUUGAUCUGUUCACCAUCAACAUUGCGUGCAGCAGCAACCACAGCCUCCCAGACACUGUUCAGAGAGGUGUACUGUUUUCCCUCCUUGUAAAUCUCACAUUUGAUGAUGGACCACAGGUUCUCAAUGGGGUUCAGAUCAGGUGAACAAGGAGGCCAUGUCAUUAGUUUUUCUUCUUUUAUACCCUUUCUUGCCAGCCACGCUGUGGAGUACUUGGACGCGUGUGAUGGAGCAUUGUCCUGCAUGAAAAUCAUGUUUUUCUUGAAGGAUGCAGACUUCUUCCUGUACCACUGCUUGAAGAAGGUGUCUUCCAGAAACUGGCAGUAGGACUGGGAGUUGAGCUUGACUCCAUCCUCAACCCGAAAAGGCCCCACAAGCUCAUCUUUGAUGAUACCAGCCCAAACCAGUACUCCACCUCCACCUUGCUGGCGUCUAAGUCGGACUGGAGCUCUCUGCCCUUUACCAAUCCAGCCACGGGCCCAUCCAUCUGGCCCAUCAAGACUCACUCAUUUCAUCAGUCCAUAAAACCUUAGAAAAAUCAGUCUUGAGAUAUUUCUUGCCCCAGUCUUGACGUUUAAGCUUGUGUGUCUUGUUCAGUGGUGGUCGUCUUUCAGCCUUUCUUACCUUGGCCAUGUCUCUGAGUAUUGCACAACUUGUGCUUUUGGGCACUCCAGUGAUGUUGCAGCUCUGAAAUAUGGCGAAACUGGUGGCAAGUGGCAUCUUGGCAACUUUUCUCAGUUCAUGGGCAGUUAUUUUGCGCCUUGGUUUUUCCACACGCUUCUUGCGACCCUGUUGACUAUUUUGAAUGAAACGCUUGAUUGUUCGAUUGUUCAGAAGCUUUGCAAUUUUAAGAGUGCUGCAUCCCUCUGCAAGAUAUCUCAGUAUUUUUGACUUUUCUGAGCCUGCCAAGUCCUUCUUUUGACCCAUUUUGCCAAAGGAAAGGAAGUUGCCUAAUAAUUAUGCACACCUGAUAUAGGGUGUUGAUGUCAUUAGACCACACCCCUUCUCAUUACAGAGAUGCACAUCACCUAAUAUGCUUAAUUGGUAGUAGGCUUUCGAGCCUAUACAGCUUGGAGUAAGACAACAUGCAUAAAGAGGAUGAUGUGGACAAAAUACUCAUUUGCCUAAUAAUUCUGCACUCCCUGUACAUAUCUGCAUCAUAUAUGUGGGAAUGAUGAGAUUCCUUCCAUUGUUCAGCUUAAUCUUAAUCAUUAACAAUCGUUUGUUUAUAAGUAAAUGAAUUUUCUCUCUGUGUUCUUCCUAUCACAUUCCCUUGGGGUGUAUCGUAUUACAUUUUUAAAUGUUUUAAUGACAUAGUUUUAGGAACAUCAGCACCUGCACUGUAGUAUUCAAUUCAAUUUAUUUUAUAUAGCGCCUUUUAAUAAAGAAAGCCAGAAGACAAUGGAGGAGAGGAACCAAAAGCUCCCAAGUAAGGAGAAAAAAAACCUCUGGGGGUCCAAGGUCAACUGUCUGCCAACCCCCACUGGGAAAACUAACAUUACCGAAAACAGAAAAGAGUUGACAUGCUUGUGAAAAGAGAGAUUUAUGCUGGGAUUAAGAAUGAAGACAAAGUCCAUCAAUGAGUCCGUUAUCCAUGUUGGCCUGUGAAGGAUAGCCAAGGUCCAUUCUCCACGUUGGGCUGUGCUGGGUGGCACUGAAGGCUGCACCCACGGUGAUAUAUUUGGUAUGACCCAUUCGUGAUGUCACCCCUCCAUGGGACUGACCCAGGACUCCAGCUCAGAUGGUGCCCACUUCGGGCUCCACCCGGACAUGUGGGAAGGCAGAGAGUAUGGAUGGUCAGAACAUAUGUUGACACAUAAACGGACAAGCAUAGUAGAUAAAAAUGACAUGUGCAGCAGCACCAGCAGCCAUAGUUAUGGUGCGGUAGGUCGUGGGCAAGAUAAACUGAAGUAAUGGGUCUUAAAGGCCGAGAAUGAAUCGGCAUCCCGAACGUAGGCUGGUAAACCAUUCCACAAGUAUCACUCCUAGUGUGUAAAUCUUCCGGAACAUCAGCACCUGCACUGCAGUAUCACUCCUCCUGUCCUUUAAUACUACAAAGGGCAUUUCAUACUCCACCCCUGUGCAAAUGAGUCCCUGUUUCCUUCCUCCCUCCUCAUUUAAA